CCAGUACUUCAUGUGGGUGUAUGUGCGAUCGUGAGAAGGGGGACAGGAGGAGCUUUCCCCUCAAAACCCUAACAUCCUAAAUUCAUCAAAUUGGAAGGGAAAUUGAAGUGUAAAUUGAUGCAUGUAUCAAGAUUCAUGAUCAUCUAGUGUUCUUUUAACACAAAGAGCGAAGAAGGAAGAAGGCACGGGUCAUUCCAAAACACAAGUAGUGCAAGACCACAGUAAAUCCUCACUUUAGGCGAUUUGGAGAAUUGGAGCGAGCACGUGUCUAUGUCAUGUUAUACCAAACGCUUCCGCUAGAUUAUUCUCAUCCUUUUGGUCCAUGACUUGUUAUUUUAUCCAACUUUUUUAGUAGUUGUACAUUUGUAAAACUUGUCGUCUUUGCUUUUGGUAGUUUUAUGUCAACGGGUUCGUAGAAUGUUAUUUGAAUGAUUAUGUUAAAAACAGGGGGCACGUUCGUUUUACGAACGGGUCAUGCCCAAUUUUUGUAAAAAUUAUUAUGUAACAAAGUUGGUAUUUUUGAUGUCUCAUAAA
Long non-coding RNA from Helianthus annuus (common sunflower), 534 nucleotides. RefSeq lists it as uncharacterized. The transcript has 3 exons. The record is from RefSeq and is a predicted model, not a curated record. NCBI's taxonomy places the organism in Eukaryota, Viridiplantae, Streptophyta, Magnoliopsida, Asterales, Asteraceae.